Molecule: ribosomal RNA, 645 nt
Filed under: uncultured bacterium
Lineage: Bacteria
Description: bacterial SSU rRNA
Rfam family: Bacterial small subunit ribosomal RNA
Source: RNAcentral
GUAGGAGCUUGCUCCUGCUGGAUUAGUGGCGAACGGGUGAGUAACACGUGAGCAAUCUGCCCCUGACUCUGGGAUAAGCGUUGGAAACGACGUCUAAUACCGGAUACGAACUGAGAUCGCAUGGUCAUCAGUUGGAAAGAACUUCGGUCAGGGAUGAGCUCGCGGCCUAUCAGCUAGUUGGUGAGGUAAUGGCCCACCAAGGCGACGACGGGUAGCCGGCCUGAGAGGGUGACCGGCCACACUGGGGCUGAGACACGGCCCAGACUCCUACGGGAGGCAGCAGUGGGGAAUAUUGCACAAUGGGCGAAAGCCUGAUGCAGCAACGCCGCGUGAGGGAUGAAGGCCUUCGGGUUGUAAACCUCUUUUAGCAGGGAAGAAGCGAAAGUGACGGUACCUGCAGAAAAAGCACCGGCUAACUACGUGCCAGCAGCCGCGGUAAUACGUAGGGUGCAAGCGUUGUCCGGAAUUAUUGGGCGUAAAGAGCUCGUAGGCGGUUUGUCGCGUCUGCUGUGAAAAUCCAAGGCUCAACCUUGGACCUGCAGUGGGUACGGGCAGACUAGAGUGCGGUAGGGGAGAUGGGAAUUCCUGGUGUAGCGGUGGAAUGCGCAGAUAUCAGGAGGAACACCAAUGGCGAAGGCACAUCUC